GAAAUUWAUUUAAAGUCAGGCCUGCCCMCUGAAUGAUUAAAUGGCCGCAGUAUAUUGACUGUGCAAAGGUAGCAUAAUCAUUAGUUUUUUAAUUGAAAGCUGGAAUGAAAGGUUCGAUGAGAAARUAACUGUCUCAGUAUAAUUAAUUUAGAAUUUUAUUUUUAAGUUAAAAAGCUUAAAUAWAAUUAAUAGACGAGAAGACCCUAUAGAGUUUUAUUUAAUUUUUAAAAUUUUAAGUUUAGUAUUARUAUUGGAUUAUAAAAAUURAAUUUGAUUGGGGUGAUUGAAAAAUUAAAGGAACUUUUAUUAUAAAUUUACAURAAUUAAUGAGUAAUUGAUCCGUUUAUUACGAUUAUAAGAAUAAAUUACCUUAGGGAUAACAGCGUAAUUUUUUUUUAGAGUUCUUAUCGAAAAAAAAGAUUGCGACCUCGAUGUUGGAUUAAAGAAAGUUUUUGGUGUAGAAGUUAAAAAACUAGGUCUGUUCRACCUUUAAAUCUUUACA
Molecule: ribosomal RNA, 502 nt
Filed under: Ostomopsis sp. CO914
Lineage: Eukaryota; Metazoa; Arthropoda; Insecta; Coleoptera; Cerylonidae
Description: partial 16S ribosomal RNA
Rfam family: Archaeal large subunit ribosomal RNA
Source: RNAcentral